Molecule: ribosomal RNA, 402 nt
Filed under: Bacteroidota bacterium
Lineage: Bacteria; Pseudomonadati; Bacteroidota
Description: Bacteroidetes bacterium partial 16S ribosomal RNA
Rfam family: Bacterial small subunit ribosomal RNA
Source: RNAcentral
UGGGGAAUUUUGCACAAUGGGGGAAACCCUGAUGCAGCGACGCCGCGUGAUUUAGAAGGCCUUCGGGUUGUAAAAAUCUUUUUUAUGGGAGGAAAAUGACAGUACCAUAAGAAUAAGGUCCGGCUAAAUACGUGCCAGCAGCCGCGGUAAUACGUAUGGACCGAGCGUUGUCCGGAAUCAUUGGGCGUAAAGGGUACGUAGGCGGGCCAGUAAGUUAGAAGUGAAAUAAUAUAGCUCAACUAUAUAAAGCUUUUAAAACUGCUAGGCUUGAGGGAUUGAAGGGAAAGUGGAAUUCCGAGUGUAGCGGUGAAAUGCGCAGAUAUUAGGAAGAAUACCGGGGGCGAAGGCGGCUUUCUGGACACAAACUGACACUGAGGUACGAAAGCGUGGGGAGCACACAGG